RNAcentral lists this ribosomal RNA (497 nucleotides) under uncultured bacterium. RNAcentral describes it as "partial 16S ribosomal RNA". It matches the Rfam family "Bacterial small subunit ribosomal RNA", at positions 28 to 507 of the family's 1533-position model. The record is from RNAcentral.
GACGAACGCUGGCGGCGUGCCUAAUACAUGCCAGUUGAGCGCUGAAGGUUGGUACUUGUACCAACUGGAUGAGCAGCGAACGGGUGAGUAACGCGUGGGGAAUCUGCCUUUGAGCGGGGGACAACAUUUGGAAACGAAUGCUAAUACCGCAUAAAAACUUUAAACACAAGUUUUAAGUUUGAAAGAUGCAAUUGCAUCACCCAAAGAUGAUCCCGCGUUGUAUUAGCUAGUUGGUGAGGUAAAGGCUCACCAAGGCGAUGAUACAUAGCCGACCUGAGAGGGUGAUCGGCCACAUUGGGACUGAGACACGGCCCAAACUCCUACGGGAGGCAGCAGUAGGGAAUCUUCGGCAAUGGACGAAAGUCUGACCGAGCAACGCCGCGUGAGUGAAGAAGGUUUUCGGAUCGUAAAACUCUGUUGGUAGAGAAGAACGUUGGUGAGAGUGGAAAGCUCAUCAAGUGACGGUAACUACCCAGAAAGGGACGGCUAACUACGUG